UGCCAGCCGCCGCGGUAAUACAGAGGGUGCGAGCGUUAAUCGGAAUCACUGGGCGUAAAGGGCUUGUAGGUGGAUUGAUAAGUUAGAUGUGAAAGGCCUGGGCUCAACCUAGGGACUGCAUUUAAGACUGUUAAUCUAGAGUAUGGUAGAGGUAAGUGGAAUUUCCGGUGUAGCGGUGAAAUGCGUAGAUAUCGGAAGGAACACCAGUGGCGAAGGCGACUUCCUGGGCCAAUACUGACGCUGAGGUGCGAAAGCGUGGGGAGCAAACAGGAUUAGAUA
RNAcentral lists this ribosomal RNA (279 nucleotides) under uncultured bacterium. RNAcentral describes it as "partial 16S ribosomal RNA". It matches the Rfam family "Bacterial small subunit ribosomal RNA", at positions 506 to 784 of the family's 1533-position model. The record is from RNAcentral.